CUGGUUAUCAGCUUGACUAUAUCUGGAAUGAACUACAGUCCAGAAUUGGAAGGCUCACCUUUGAUCCUGAUCUUGAGGCUGAGAGAUACAAGUUUCUAACCCGGAUCUUGGUAUGGAGAUCUUGAGGCAAAGUGGCUAUGACUCUAAGGCAAGGAGAUCUCUGAGUUCAAGGUCACCUGGGACAAAGAAAGUCCUGGACCCAGGCGUGUUGGUACACACCUUUAAUCUGGGAUACACCUUCUGCUGGAAACCUAUAUAAGGACAUUGGAAGAAGGAAGAGUCUCUUUUUUGCCUGUCUACCUUGUGGGACUGAGCCACCCUAGAUCCUUGGACUUCCAUUCACAGCUGCUGCUGACCAUUGUUGGAGAGUUGGACUACAGACUCACGUGAGCCCUCACGGAAAGACCUUAUCAACUGGAAGAAGCUUCAGGUGCAAAAGUGCUCGUUCACACUGAGUGGUC
This 461-nucleotide long non-coding RNA is filed under the name Rattus norvegicus (Norway rat). RNAcentral describes it as "long non-coding RNA NONRATT029575". Lineage: Eukaryota; Metazoa; Chordata; Mammalia; Rodentia; Muridae. The record is from RNAcentral.